This 274-nucleotide ribosomal RNA is filed under the name uncultured bacterium. RNAcentral describes it as "partial 16S ribosomal RNA". It matches the Rfam family "Bacterial small subunit ribosomal RNA", at positions 523 to 796 of the family's 1533-position model. The record is from RNAcentral.
AUACGGAGGGUCCAAGCGUUAUCCGGAUUCAUUGGGUUUAAAGGGUCCGCAGGCGGGAAAAUAAGUCAGUGGUGAAAGCCUACAGCUCAACUGUAGAACUGCCAUUGAUACUGUUUUUCUUGAGUAUACAUGAAGUGGGCGGAAUAUAUCAUGUAGCGGUGAAAUGCAUAGAUAUGAUAUAGAACACCGAUUGCGAAGGCAGCUCACUAAACUAUUACUGACGCUCAGGGACGAAAGCGUGGGGAGCGAACAGAAUUAGAAACCCUAGUAGUCC